GACGAACGCUGGCGGCGUGCUUAACACAUGCAAGUCGAACGGUGAAGCGCCUUCCUUUUUGGUGGGUGUGGAUGAGUGGCGAACGGGUGAGUAACACGUGAGUAACCUGCCCCCUUCUUCUGGAUAACCGCAUGAAAGUGUGGCUAAUACGGGAUAUUCUGGGUCUGUCGCAUGAUGGGUCUGGGAAAGAUAUUGUUUCGGUGGGGGAUGGGCUCGCGGCCUAUCAGCUUGUUGGUGGGGUGAUGGCCUACCAAGGCGGUGACGGGUAGCCGGCCUGAGAGGGUGGACGGCCACACUGGGACUGAGACACGGCCCAGACUCCUACGGGAGGCAGCAGUGGGGAAUAGUGCACAAUGGGCGCAAGCCUGAUGCAGCGACGCCGCGUGAGGGAUGGAGGCCUGCGGGUUGUGAACCUCUUUCGCCAGUGAAGCAGGCCUGCCUCGUUUGUGGGUGGGUUGACGGUAGCUGGAGAAGAAGCGCCGGCUAACUACGUG
RNAcentral lists this ribosomal RNA (494 nucleotides) under uncultured bacterium. Its description in RNAcentral is "partial 16S ribosomal RNA". It matches the Rfam family "Bacterial small subunit ribosomal RNA", at positions 28 to 507 of the family's 1533-position model. The record is from RNAcentral.